This is a non-coding RNA of Cricetulus griseus (Chinese hamster), 72 nucleotides long. The record is from Rfam. Lineage: Eukaryota; Metazoa; Chordata; Mammalia; Rodentia; Cricetidae.
GAGAGAUAGCUCAGUGGUUAAGAGCACUGAUAGCUCUUCCAGAGGACCUGGGUUCAAUCCCCAGCACUCUCA